AUGCCAGACCUCCCCCUGAUUGCUGAGUUAAUGUUACCACCAGUGGAAGGUGAGGAUCACCAAGCUGAACUAGACAGGGACACAAUAGCCCAACAGAUCAAGGACAAUUUACUCAAAGCACAAGAGAGAAUGAAGUUCUUUGCAGACAAGAAGAGAUCUAAGAGACAACUUGCUGUUGGAGAUAUGGUCUAUGUCAAAUUGCAACCAUACAGACACACCAGCUUGAGCAUACACAAACACCUGAAACUUCACUCCAAAUAUUAUGGGCCUUUCAGAGUCAUGGAGAGAAUUGGAGUUGUGGCUUAUAGGUUCCUCCUGCCUGAGGGUUGUCAGCUUCAUCCCACUUUUCAUGUAAGCCAACUCAAGAAGCACAUUGGUCCUGAAGCUGUACCUAACCCUAAAUUGCCUCUCCUAGAUGAACAUGGUAACAUCCUCAUUCAGCCUUAA
Molecule: ribosomal RNA, 447 nt
Filed under: Triticum aestivum (bread wheat)
Lineage: Eukaryota; Viridiplantae; Streptophyta; Magnoliopsida; Poales; Poaceae
Description: partial small subunit ribosomal RNA
Source: RNAcentral